UGUGUAGGCGGUUGCGCAAGUCUGGUGUGAAAUCUUCACCGCUUAACGGGAAGAGGUCACUGGAAACUGCGUAACUCGAGUGUGGUAGAGGCAAGCGGAAUUCCUGGUGUAGCGGUGGAAUGUGUAGAUAUCAGGAAGAACACCUGUGGCGAAGGCGGCUUGCUGGGCCAUCACUGACGCUGAGACACGAAAGCGUGGGGAGCAAACGGGAUUAGAUACCCCGGUAGUCCACGCUGUAAACGGUGCGCACUAGGUGUGGGAGGUAUCGACCCCUCCUGUGCCGCAGUUAACACAUUAAGUGCGCCGCCUGGGGAGUACGGCCGCAAGGUUGAA
Molecule: ribosomal RNA, 333 nt
Filed under: uncultured Mahella sp.
Lineage: Bacteria; Bacillati; Bacillota; Clostridia; Mahellales; Mahellaceae
Description: bacterial SSU rRNA
Rfam family: Bacterial small subunit ribosomal RNA
Source: RNAcentral